UUUAGAGUUUGAUUCAUGGCUCAGAUUGAACGCUGGCGGCAGGCUUAACACAUGCAAGUCGAGCGGGGAAGAGUAGCUUGCUACUUUACCUAGCGGCGGACGGGUGAGUAAUGCUUAGGAAUCUGCCUAUUAGUGGGGGACAACAUCUCGAAAGGGAUGCUAAUACCGCAUACGUCCUACGGGAGAAAGCAGGGGACCUUCGGGCCUUGCGCUAAUAGAUGAGCCUAAGUCGGAUUAGCUAGUUGGUGGGGUAAAGGCCUACCAAGGCGACGAUCUGUAGCGGGUCUGGGAGGAUGAUCCGCCACACUGGGACUGAGACACGGCCCAGACUCCUACGGGAGGCAGCAGUGGGGAAUAUUGGACAAUGGGGGGAACCCUGAUCCAGCCAUGCCGCGUGUGUGAAGAAGGCCUUUUGGUUGUAAAGCACUUUAAGCGAGGA
This 439-nucleotide ribosomal RNA is filed under the name Acinetobacter lwoffii. Its description in RNAcentral is "bacterial SSU rRNA". It matches the Rfam family "Bacterial small subunit ribosomal RNA", at positions 1 to 445 of the family's 1533-position model. The record is from RNAcentral. Lineage: Bacteria; Pseudomonadati; Pseudomonadota; Gammaproteobacteria; Moraxellales; Moraxellaceae.